Molecule: long non-coding RNA, 559 nt
Filed under: Manacus vitellinus (golden-collared manakin)
Lineage: Eukaryota; Metazoa; Chordata; Aves; Passeriformes; Pipridae
Description: lncRNA (ENSMVIG00005008887.1)
Source: RNAcentral
UGUAGACAGAGAAUGUAACUAACCUAAUUCACAAACCACUGCUGCAGCUUGUUGCUUCCAGCCUGCUGUAAGGUCUCAUUCAUUUCUUCCUUUGGCUGUCAAACUGUGUGGAUGUUGCAUUUGGCUUGUGGCAUUUCUGAGACACUCAUCUUCUGCUGCUGUGUCUGUACACAUCUAUGUGUGGCUUUUGCUGGUAGAAUGUGCUUUUAUAGGAGAACAAAAAUAUCUUUUGUUUUGCUCUCCUAUUUCCAGGGUGAAGGAGUGCUGCUGUCCUGCAAUACCUAGUCCUAACAAGAGCAAAGUGCUGUCAUUCAAAGAGUUUAAGAUUGGUUCUGAGAAAGUGCUAAAAAUAAAUGACUGCAUUCCUGACAUGCUGGCUAUGGACAAUAAGGCUGAAGCCCAGAAAUUACAUCCAUGGAGCAAGUUGUCUUCAAUACCAACAGAAGACGAGACUGAUGGUCACAAUUCGUCCUGGAUUUACCCUAAGGAAAAUGCAGAGAGAGACCUUCCACCCACACCUAUCUCUCAAACUCAUAAUUGGGAGAUCCUGCGCUGCUGA